UACGGAGGGGACUAGCGUUGUUCGGAAUUACUGGGCGUAAAGAGCGCGUAGGCGGCUUUGCAAGUCAGGUGUGAAAUCCCGGGGCUCAACCCCGGAAGAGCAUUUGAUACUGUGGAGCUUGAGUAUGGGAGAGGGAAGUGGAAUUCCUGGUGUAGCGGUGAAAUGCGUAGAUAUCAGGAGGAACACCGGUGGCGAAGGCGGCUUCCUGGACCAAUACUGACGCUGAGGCGCGAAGGCGUGGGGAGCAAACAGGAUUAGAUACCCCGGUAGUCCCU
RNAcentral lists this ribosomal RNA (275 nucleotides) under uncultured prokaryote. Its description in RNAcentral is "partial 16S ribosomal RNA". It matches the Rfam family "Bacterial small subunit ribosomal RNA", at positions 524 to 798 of the family's 1533-position model. The record is from RNAcentral.